RNAcentral lists this ribosomal RNA (820 nucleotides) under uncultured Geobacter sp. RNAcentral describes it as "bacterial SSU rRNA". It matches the Rfam family "Bacterial small subunit ribosomal RNA", at positions 38 to 842 of the family's 1533-position model. The record is from RNAcentral. Lineage: Bacteria; Pseudomonadati; Thermodesulfobacteriota; Desulfuromonadia; Geobacterales; Geobacteraceae.
AAUGGCGCUGCUACCUGCAAGUCGAACGUGAUCCGCCCUUCGGGGUGGUGAAAGUGGCGCACGGGUGAGUAACGCGUGGAUAAUCUGCCCGAGGAUUUGGGAUAACAUCUCGAAAGGGGUGCUAAUACCGAAUAAGCCCACGGGGUCUACGGAUCUUGCGGGAAAAGGGGGGGACCUUCGGGCCUCCUGUCCUUGGAUGAGUCUGCGUACCAUUAGCUAGUUGGUGGGGUAAUGGCCUACCAAGGCGACGAUGGUUAGCUGGUCUGAGAGGAUGAUCAGCCACACUGGAACUGAGACACGGUCCAGACUCCUACGGGAGGCAGCAGUGGGGAAUUUUGCGCAAUGGGGGAAACCCUGACGCAGCAACGCCGCGUGGGUGAUGAAGGCCUUCGGGUCGUAAAGCUCUGUCUGGAGGGAAGAAAUGAUUGGGAGCUAAUACCUCUUGAUCUUGACGGUACCUCUGAAGGAAGCACCGGCUAACUCCGUGCCAGCAGCCGCGGUAAUACGGAGGGUGCAAGCGUUGUUCGGAAUUAUUGGGCGUAAAGCGCGUGUAGGCGGUCUUUUAAGUCUGAUGUGAAAGCCCCGGGCUCAACCUGGGAAGUGCAUUGGAAACUGGGAGGCUUGAGUACGGGAGAGGAGAGUGGAAUUCCUAGUGUAGGAGUGAAAUCCGUAGAUAUUAGGAGGAACACCGGUGGCGAAGGCGGCUCUCUGGACCGAUACUGACGCUGAGACGCGAAAGCGUGGGUAGCAAACAGGAUUAGAUACCCUGGUAGUCCACGCCGUAAACGAUGAGUACUACGUGUGCGGUAUUGACCCCUGC